GAAUCUUGCGCAAUGGGCGAAAGCCUGACGCAGCGACGCCGCGUGAGUGAUGAAGGCCUUCGGGUUGUAAAGCUCUGUGGGGAGAGACGAAUAAGUGCAGCCUAAUACGUUGCAUGAUGACGGUAUCUCCUUAGCAAGCACCGGCUAACUCUGUGCCAGCAGCCGCGGUAAGACAGAGGGUGCAAACGUUGUUCGGAUUUACUGGGCGUAAAGCGCGUGUAGGCGGCUUUGCAAGUCGGAUGUGAAAGCCCACGGCUCAACCGUGGAAGUGCAUCCGAAACUGCAUGGCUUGAGUCUCGGAGAGGAAGGUGGAAUGCUUGGUGUAGAGGUGAAAUUCGUAGAUAUCAAGCAGAACACCUGCGGCGAAGGCGGCCUUCUGGACGAUGACUGACGCUGAGACGCGAAAGCGUGGGGAGCAAAC
Molecule: ribosomal RNA, 421 nt
Filed under: uncultured bacterium
Lineage: Bacteria
Description: bacterial SSU rRNA
Rfam family: Bacterial small subunit ribosomal RNA
Source: RNAcentral